This is a long non-coding RNA of Cyprinodon tularosa, 322 nucleotides long. RefSeq lists it as uncharacterized. Lineage: Eukaryota; Metazoa; Chordata; Actinopteri; Cyprinodontiformes; Cyprinodontidae. The transcript has 4 exons. The record is from RefSeq and is a predicted model, not a curated record.
GUUCUGGUGCCGCUGGUUGUUCUGGCUGUUGUUUUCAUCAAAUGCAGGAAAACCAGAGUUAAAGAGGAUCAUAGAACCACAACAGAGAGUCAAGAUUCAACCCAUGAAAGUCGUCGCCAUGAUAAAGAGCAGUCCAACCCGACCCACGCCACUGUUAAGAGUUUCAAUCCCAGAACUCCUCAGAGAAAAAAGGUCACACAAGAUGAAGACACUGUGACUUAUUCUGUUGUCAACAUUAAAGGGAAAAGAGAAGAAAACAUCGAUCCUAACAGCCUCUACAGCAACGCCACUAAACUCAAGUAAACCAAAUGGGGAAAUGAAA